Molecule: long non-coding RNA, 3448 nt
Organism: Helianthus annuus (common sunflower)
Lineage: Eukaryota; Viridiplantae; Streptophyta; Magnoliopsida; Asterales; Asteraceae
Exons: 11
Source: RefSeq, a predicted model, not a curated record
CGUAUUUAAAUAAUCUAACCCAACUUUUCAUUUGCAUCCUCUGGUUUCCAACAUUGAGCGUCUUCUCCAAGUUUCCUCUCUCAUUCUUCUCCAAGCUUCCUCUCUCAAUCUCAAACGUCUGGUAAGUUGUUCCAUCUUAUUACUAAAUCUAGAAAUGAAUCAAGUUUUUGAUAUUAAAGAAAUAAAUUGACGCUCCCACCGUUGGUUCUCUAGGGUUUCCAUUCAAGCAAUUCGUUCGUUUGUGCCUCAAAGAACAAAAAAGAUCCUCCCUUUCUCAUCCGAUUGUCAAGAUUCAUCACUAAAAACCCUAAUUUCCUUCUUCCAAUCAGUUUCAUAAGCUUGCUCUUUGCGAUCGAUGAUAAAAAUGACCCGACUAAGAACAAGGAGGAGAGCCAUAUCAGUUUACUUCAAGUUGGUUCAAGAUUAUUCAAGAGUUCAAAAUUCCUAAGUUAAUGUGUCAAUGGUGGCUAAUCAAAGGAUGAUAGAAGUGCGCUAUAUUAGAAUUCAAGACGGUAAACUAACAGGUAAGAAUUUGGAGAAAGUAUGAUGGAACUCUCAUCUCUGGAGGAGUGAGGAUUGGUAUCAAAAGGUGGCUAUUUGGAGGUUGAUGUUCAGAUAUAUGGAGUUGGUCUGUGGCAUACAUGGUUUUAUCGUGAUUUGACCAUUGCUGGAAGACUGAUUAUCAAAGAAGGAAAAAGUGACGGGUUGUUAAUGAUGGAUUUAAGGUGAAUACACAAACUCAUCUGCUUCCUGUGCUGGAAACAUAUGUUAAGGCUGAGCUCAAUAAAGUGGUUGCUGAUAAUGGCCCAGAUGGGAAGCCUAUUGAAAGCCCAAAUAGCCAGAAGCAUCAUUCUCUUCUUUUACAGUGGGGAGUGGCUACAAUGUCAGGGUGAUGAUCCGGCGUUAUCUGCUGAUGACUUAGUGGGUUAGGCUGCUGGUGUUUUUGGCUAUAUUAGGUGUAUGUAUGUGCUUAUGGGCUGUUUGGCUAUGUUUUAUUUCAAACACGCUGAAUAAAGCAUUUAACUGCAAAUGGAGAAUGAGACAUGUCUAAAUUUACUAAACUGUGUUGGCAUGGUUUUAGUAAUGACAAAACGUAUUUGCGGGUUAGAUUCUAUAUACCAUUUGAGGCAUUAAACCUUUUCAUUUUACAAAAGUAAGGUUCGUAACAAGCGACAGUGAGCAAAAUAUUGAAUAUUUGAAAUAAACAAAUCGAGAUGAGGUCUCAAGAGUUCAGCUAUGAUUUUUUGGCUGUAGUGGGGAGUGGCUACAAUGUCAGGUGAUGAUCCGACAUUAUUUGCUGAUGACUUAGCUGGUUAGGUUGUUGGUGUUUUUGGCUAUAUUGGGUAAAGUUUUCUUUUUCUUACUUUUUUUUUAUAAAUGGAAGAAGUUUAAUAGAUAUGUAAAUUGUUGUUCCAUACCAGGUGUAGGUAUGUGCUUAUGGGCCGUUUGGCUAUGUUUUAUUUCAAACACACUGAAUAAAGCAACUGGAAAUAAAAAAUGAGACAUGUCUAAAUUUACUAAACUGCGUUUGGCAUGGUUUUAGUAAUGACAAAACGUAUUUGCGGGUUAGAUUGGAUAUACCAUUUGAGGCAUUAAACCUUUUCAUUUUUUUAAAAAUGUAAGGUUCGUAACAAGUGGCGGUGAGCAAAAUAUUGAAUCUUUGAAAAAUCUAUAUAUAGGUCUUAAUAGUUCAGCUAUGAUUUUCUUAUAACUGUCUUUAUGGUUCGGUCAAAGAAUCCACAAUAGAAGAGUUAAAAAUGACAGUCAUGUCACCUAUGCCUGGGAUUUGGCCCUUGCAUAUUAAUAACCCGUCACCCGAGAUUUACAAGGUAUUUGAUGCAUUUGGAUAUGAUUUCUUUCAAACUUAUUUCAGCAUAUGGGCUAUUUCAAAAGUAUAACACAUUGUCACUUUAUUGUGUUUAUGUUAACACACAAGUUUUGUACUUUGUACACUAAUGCUUUCGAGUGAUUGUACGUUCCUCUUCUUAUUGGUUGUGAUGUUAAAACUAUCAUAUCAUACUCCCAGUAUCCCCUCGAGUUAAGGAGUUCAUUUCUCUAAACCAAGGGGCGUUGCUUUGAUUAAAAAGUCAAUAUAAUCAGGUUUGAAACUUAAAGGCCAUAUUUCUAUUUUGGUUCUACUCCUUGCUACUUUCUAGAAUGAACUCCUAUUCAUGCAAAGUUUUAGGCAAAUUUGUCAUCAGUUUUGAGACUUAAAACUAAAAAAAUUAGUAAAAGUAAAUUGGGUGAAAUGAGUUGAAAGUCAAACGGAAUGUGUCAAUAAUGCUUGCCUAUAACCUCUUAAACUUCUUUUUUUUUUUAAAAGAGAUGUGAUUAUUUCUUUAUAAUAUGUUUUUUAAUCAUACUUAACAUUUUAGUUGUUUAUAAAAUUGUAUAAGAAUGGGUAAAAAGCUUAUGGGCCAACCCAAACUGACCUGAUCUAUGACAAGCCUUACGAAAUUUACCCGUUUUAAUCCGUUAUGCAACCUGCCAAUUUGAGCUUGGCUAUCCGCUGCAAAUCACAUAAGUUUUGAAAUUAGAACUAUCAUAUUGAAGUUAUGCAAGGGUGUUUUAGGCAUCUUAAAAAAUUGAAGUGCAACGGCCAGGUAGAUCACAUCUUCCUUACAUAGUUGUCAAUAGUGGGCGUAGCGAUCGCUAUAGCGUGCUACAUAGCGUAUAAGUCUAGGCUCGCUAUUAGGGGUGUAGCGAUAGAUAGCGAUAACGACAAUUUAAUUCUUUUUGGAAAUUUUAAGCUACUUGUGAGCAAAGAAAGAAAUGAAUUCCCGUAGGUAUAAAACUAUGAUUAUAGUUCAGCAAGACUUUAGAAGUUACAAUAUGGAUGGUGAUCGGUUUAGGUUGUUUUUUAAACUUAGAAACUGACAUGAUGGCAAUUUUUUGUAAUGUUUAUGUGGGUUUAGGUUGUUUUAUAAACUUAGAAAUUGACACGACGGCCAAUUUUGUAAUGUUUAUGUGGGUUUAACAUAUAUUAUGGAUAGCGAUUAAAACACAUAUAGUUAAUUCAUUUUAUGUAUAUUUUUGUAACUUUUCAUUUUAUUUUAUAGUAUGCGUUGCGGUGUGGUUUACUUUCAGCUUCCGUGUGUAUUAAGGGGUAAGAUUCGUUAUCAUUGGUUUUGUGGUCCAAUGAUUGUAUCUCUUUGAGUUUCCAUUGGCAACUCGGCUGGCGAAUUGUUGUACCAUUUUUUAGUAUUAAUGGAAGUUAGAUUGACCAGUGACUAUCUUAUGCUAUUUUAUAUGUAUGCAUUCAGAUCAUCAUGUUUGGACAGGGUGUGUUUUGAUGCAGGUGCAUUUGGUGAUUGAUUGGGUUAUGAGUGCAUGAUUCCAAACAGAGUUUAAUAUUUUAUAUGUAUAUGUAUUUUUAAUUGUAUUUCUACUUUGUCAUUAAAUUAUGUAAUAUGUCAAUUUGUUUAUAUAUAUUUUAUUUAUAUAUUUA